Molecule: long non-coding RNA, 1625 nt
Filed under: Heterocephalus glaber (naked mole-rat)
Lineage: Eukaryota; Metazoa; Chordata; Mammalia; Rodentia; Bathyergidae
Description: lncRNA (ENSHGLG00000033716.1)
Source: RNAcentral
AGCUAUCCAGGGUCCCCCUUUCUUUUUGAUGAGCAAUAGAGGUUUGUAUUUCACAGAGCUCAUCCAUUUACUCUAAGUUCGCACACUUCCUGGCUUAGAGUUGCUCCUGAUAGUCCCUGAUUGCCCUUCUGCGCUGGACUCUGCGAUGCCCCUUCUUCCACUCCCAGUGUCACUGAUCUGUGACUUUCACUGUGGUGACCCCAUGAUCCAUGUGGCUCCUCGGUCGGUCUCUAUGGCCCAGUUUUCUCCGUGUUGUGGUCCCUACCCUUCCUCCCUGUGUGCUGAGGACCCUGCCCUGGUGACAGGCACUGUGGCUCUGACCUGCAGGGAGCUGGUUUUCCCUGGACUCUGGGCCGUGUCCUGUGUGCAGGUUUCCUGGGAGCAGCGAGCCUUGCGCUUCCUUUCAGCCUUGCCCAGUGGGACCAGGGCAGCGUGGAAUCCGGGGGCAGCAGCAUGCUGCAUCAGCGGCACGGGCCUCGUCUGGCAAUCGACGCCCUGCAAAGGAGGGUGUUUUCAAGCUCGAGCUUUGGGAGCAGGGGUUCAUGUCUGGUGUGAGGCCUGGUAACAUUUCUCUCCCACCUUGGGGGGUGACUUCCUCGGCGCUGGGCGGCUCCCCAUGCCCCAUGCUGGCUGAGGUCCAGGAAGAGGCAUAUUUAAUGACUUCGAGAACAAGAAUGGAGCAGCUGUUGGCACCACUUCCACAGCACACCGGGAUCCCAGUCGGGCAAGAAGUCCAAAGUAUGAGAGUUGGUACCGUGAAAAAAGGCUGUUUCCAAACAUGAGUUUGUACGUAGGAAACACCUACAGGAAGCUGUUGGAAUUAGCAGGAUGUGAAAAUCGCUCGGGAUAAGGGAAGAGAUUGGCCGGUCUGACUCAGACCAAUAACUUCUGUGCAAGCAAGGACAUCUGUGAGGCCCAGAAGCACUGUUUGCUGCACACCACUUACAGCUCUGCACUGGAGCAGAAAGCACUCACACGAGACCCCCAAAGCAAACACACAGCAGAAGACGAGCCAGUCUGCAUGUGAGCAGGACCUGGGCCACACUCCCCAGAGCACCUGAACAACUGCUCAGCACAACCCGCCAGGGAGAUGCAAACUAAACCAUGAAGAAAGAUCCCCGACCCAUCAGCCAGCACGCCGGGCUGGCACAGUGGGCGUGGCUCAGACCCAGAGCAGCACAAAGGUACCCUGCCCGAGCAGGGAUCGAACUCAGGACCUUGUGCUUUCAAGGAAGGCGGCAGAACCACUGAGCUAAAUCCCCAGCCCUCAGAAAAGCAUAUCUCAAGGAAACCGGGCCAACCACGAGGAGGAACUGACGGGUCCUCGCCAAGAGUGGCACCCCAGGGAUCAACUACCUCCUGCCAGGCCCUGCCUCCGGGCUCCCCCACAUCAGCGUAGCCACACGGGCCAGCACAGGGAGCUGAGGACACACUCGGGCCACACUGAGGCCACAGCAGUUCCCUCACUGGACAAGAUGCCAGGCACUAAGGACGCUGUGUCCAGUGGCAAAGGGCACUGCAAGGCCACGCUGUGACAUGCAGACAUGGUGCAGGACACAGCCGUGCGGGUCCUAAUCAGACAUCUGCAGGCAGCUGGGCUGGGCAGAGCUCACAGGGACAGGGGC